RNAcentral lists this long non-coding RNA (2061 nucleotides) under Scleropages formosus (Asian bonytongue). RNAcentral's name for it is "lncRNA (ENSSFOG00015028752.1)". The record is from RNAcentral. Lineage: Eukaryota; Metazoa; Chordata; Actinopteri; Osteoglossiformes; Osteoglossidae.
AUGAGAAGCCGUCAACCAGCAGCAGUAAUCAUGCUGAUAACAGCAUGCCCCCCUCCACCCCCAACCUGGAGUCAUGCAGUUUGCCUGCCUUUCCAAGUGAUUUUGGCAGUUGCCCUGAUAGCCCUCACCAUUUCUAUCUCCUUGAAUGUCGUUUUCUACUUUCUCCGACGGCGAGACCGACGGGCAGCAGGUCUGAAAGGUGAUGAGUGUCACCCCAUGGAGCAAUACAGAGAAGGGGAUCACGAACAUUUACAAGAAAAUCCCAUCUAUGGUAACAUCAGCGCAGAAAGGGCAGCUGGCCAAGAUUCAAACCUUCAACACCAUUUGCUCUAUGAGCACAUGAAGGCACAGCCACAGCCUGUAAUGGAGACCAAGUUUCUACAUCCAGUGCAACCUGAUGUGUCCUACGCCUCACUUGACCUGGCAGGGGGCAAGAAGGGGCGGAAGAAGCAUAAAGCCAAGCAAGGCCAAGCCCAGGCCAAACACCCUGCCCACAGCUUGUCGCAGCAGGAGUUCCUGGAGGUGGACACAGAAAUGGAGGCCAACCUGCCGUCCCGGCAGAGCAGCCCUCUGGCAUCACGCCACAGCAUCUACCUCAACAGCCAACAGAUGGCCAUGGAAACACAAGCGAUGGAACGGGAGCAGGCCUGGAAACGGGAACAGGAGCAGGAGCGGGAAUGGGAUAGGGAGUGGAAGAGGAAUCGAGAGUGGGAGAGAGAGAGGGAGAGAGAGAGGGAGAGGGAGAGGGAGAGGGAGUGGGACUGGGAGCGGGAGACAGACCGAGAGCGAGAGAGGGAUCGAGAAAGGGAGGAGGAGUGGGAGAGGGACUGGGAGCGGGAAGCAGCACAACAGAUGGAAAACAACUCAGGGCCGGAUUAUGAUAUAGUCCAUGAAGACCCUGCUCUCCUCCUCAGGCCGAGUCAAAACCAGGAAUGACAACGAUGACAUGUUGGGGUGUUUGGUGUGUUAGAAGUUUGGGUGUUCAUACCCUCUUUUACCAAAAUCGUUCAAUUUUUACCCACCAUCCAUCAUCACAUCAGUCCAGUUGUUCCUUCAGCCAGUCCUCUGUAGCUAACAGUUCAUUUUUUGACAAAGACAUAACAAGACAGCUGCUGAAAAAGACUGCAUGUGUCGUCACAGCGAGACAACUGAGUUAUGGACAAAGGUACAAAUCCUUCUUCGUAUUUUCUAAAAUAACUCACAGCUGUUUUUAAAUCAUAAUUUCUAUGUAAUGAACAAAUGAAAGAAUGUGUUGCUGUAUUGUCCUGAGAUAACUUGAAUGAACAGGGACAUUUAAAGUCUUGUAUUAUUAAUUCAUUUACGUACCUUAUUUCAAAUAUUUUCAUUUUAAUGAUAUAUUAUUUAUCAUUUAUUUUAUUGAAUCAAAUGUCCUCUGCCUCUAAAAGUAUUUCAAUUUUUCUUUGUUUAUACUAUUAUUAAUUACUAUGUCAAUUGUACACUGCUCCAUUUGUUCACAUUUUAUGCUUUCACAGUAGCUACUAAAUGUAUUUCCUGCUGAUGAAGCACUUUAAAUCAAAAUUUAUGAGUUAGGUUGACAUAUAAUGUCAGUCCUUUGGGGAUUGCACAUUUUUCUGUCUAUGUGCCUGAGAAGGAUAUAGCAAGUGUUGUAAAUUUGAAAUUGCCAUAGCUUUUUUUAUAACCACUGCAUGAUUUUAUUUUGUUUAAAUUCAAUUGCCAUUAGUUCUUGAGUCAGAAUUGUAUAAUUUCUAUGGUUCGAGUGAAUCCAUAAAAGAAAAUUUUGUGAACUGAUCUUGUUAGAAAUAGAAACUUUACAUUCCAAUAUACUGUAAAUGUGCAGUUUACAGAGUCUGUGUAUACACUGCAGUAACUAAAGGAAUUCACUUGGUUGGACACAUAUGAACACAUCCAGACAAAAAAUGUGUCACCUUUGGCAAUUAUGAAGAGAAUCAAAACCAAUUUGAUAGGAAGGUUUCUGGUGUAACUUAGAUUUGAAAUGGACUCAAGAGUUAUAUUUCUAUAUACAAAUAUGCAGUAUUUAAUUAUAAAAAAUAAAAAUAUGAACAAUGUGUCUUUAAUACA